GACGAACGCUGGCGGCGUGCUUAACACAUGCAAGUCGAACGGAAAGGCCCUGCUUUUGUGGGGUGCUCGAGUGGCGAACGGGUGAGUAACACGUGAGUAACCUGCCCUUGACUUUGGGAUAACUUCAGGAAACUGGGGCUAAUACCGGAUAGGAGCUCCUGCUGCAUGGUGGGGGUUGGAAAGUUUCGGCGGUUGGGGAUGGACUCGCGGCUUAUCAGCUUGUUGGUGGGGUAGUGGCUUACCAAGGCUUUGACGGGUAGCCGGCCUGAGAGGGUGACCGGGCACAUUGGGACUGAGAGACGGACCAGACUCCUACGGGAGGCAGCAGUGGGGAAUAUUGCACAAUGGGCGGAAGCCUGAUGCAGAAACGCUGCGUGCGGGAUGACGGCCUUCGGGUUGUAAACAGCUUUCGCCUGUGACGAAGCGUGAGUGACGGUAAUGGGUAAAGAAGCACCGGCUAACUACGUG
RNAcentral lists this ribosomal RNA (468 nucleotides) under uncultured bacterium. RNAcentral's name for it is "partial 16S ribosomal RNA". It matches the Rfam family "Bacterial small subunit ribosomal RNA", at positions 28 to 507 of the family's 1533-position model. The record is from RNAcentral.